Molecule: transfer RNA, 77 nt
Filed under: Rhodoferax sp.
Lineage: Bacteria; Pseudomonadati; Pseudomonadota; Betaproteobacteria; Burkholderiales; Comamonadaceae
Also listed under: 3 other names
Description: tRNA-Pro
Rfam family: tRNA
About the family: Transfer RNA (tRNA) molecules are approximately 80 nucleotides in length. Their secondary structure includes four short double-helical elements and three loops (D, anti-codon, and T loops).
Source: RNAcentral
CGGAGUGUGGCGCAGCCUGGUAGCGCAUCUGGUUUGGGACCAGAGGGUCGGAGGUUCGAAUCCUCUCACUCCGACCA